GACGAACACUGGCGGCGUGCUUAACACAUGCAAGUCGAACGGUGAAGCGCCUUCCUUUUUGGUGGGUGUGGAUGAGUGGCGAACGGGUGAGUAACACGUGAGUAACCUGCCCCCUUCUUCUGGAUAACCGCAUGAAAGUGUGGCUAAUACGGGAUAUUCUGGGUCUGUCGCAUGAUGGGUCCGGGAAAGAUAUUGUUUCGGUGGGGGAUGGGCUCGCGGCCUAUCAGCUUGUUGGUGGGGUGAUGGCCUACCAAGGCGGUGACGGGUAGCCGGCCUGAGAGGGUGGACGGUCACACUGGGACUGAGACACGGCCCAGACUCCUACGGGAGGCAGCAGUGGGGAAUAUUGCACAAUGGGCGCAAGCCUGAUGCAGCGACGCCGCGUGAGGGAUGGAGGCCUUCGGGUUGUGAACCUCUUUCGCCAGUGAAGCAGGCCUGCCUCGUUUGUGGGUGGGUUGACGGUAGCUGGAUAAGAAGCGCCGGCUAACUACGUG
This 494-nucleotide ribosomal RNA is filed under the name uncultured bacterium. RNAcentral describes it as "partial 16S ribosomal RNA". It matches the Rfam family "Bacterial small subunit ribosomal RNA", at positions 28 to 507 of the family's 1533-position model. The record is from RNAcentral.